UGGGGAAUUUUGGACAAUGGGGGAAACCCUGAUCCAGCCAUCCCGCGUGUGCGAUGAAGGCCUUCGGGUUGUAAAGCACUUUUGGCAGGAAAGAAACGUCAUGGGUUAAUACCCCGUGAAACUGACGGUACCUGCAGAAUAAGCACCGGCUAACUACGUGCCAGCAGCCGCGGUAAUACGUAGGGUGCAAUCGUUAAUCGGAAUUACUGGGCGUAAAGCGUGCGCAGGCGGUUCGGAAAGAAAGAUGUGAAAUCCCAGAGCUCAACUUUGGAACUGCAUUUUUAACUACCGGGCUAGAGUGUGUCAGAGGGAAGUGGAAUUCCGCGUGUAGCAGUGAAAUGCGUAGAUAUGCGGAGGAACACCGAUGGCGAAGGCAGCCUCCUGGGAUAACACUGACGCUCAUGCACGAAAGCGUGGGGAGCAAACAGG
Molecule: ribosomal RNA, 429 nt
Filed under: Acidobacteriota bacterium
Lineage: Bacteria; Pseudomonadati; Acidobacteriota
Description: Acidobacteria bacterium partial 16S ribosomal RNA
Rfam family: Bacterial small subunit ribosomal RNA
Source: RNAcentral